RNAcentral lists this ribosomal RNA (495 nucleotides) under uncultured bacterium. RNAcentral's name for it is "partial 16S ribosomal RNA". It matches the Rfam family "Bacterial small subunit ribosomal RNA", at positions 28 to 507 of the family's 1533-position model. The record is from RNAcentral.
GACGAACGCUGGCGGCGUGCCUAAUACAUGCAAGUAGAACGCUGAAGGAGGAGCUUGCUUCUCCGGAUGAGUUGCGAACGGGUGAGUAACGCGUAGGUAACCUGCCUGGUAGCGGGGGAUAACUAUUGGAAACGAUAGCUAAUACCGCAUAAGAGUAGAUGUUGCAUGACAUUUGCUUAAAAGGUGCAAUUGCAUCACUACCAGAUGGACCUGCGUUGUAUUAGCUAGUUGGUGGGGUAACGGCUCACCAAGGCGACGAUACAUAGCCGACCUGAGAGGGUGAUCGGCCACACUGGGACUGAGACACGGCCCAGACUCCUACGGGAGGCAGCAGUAGGGAAUCUUCGGCAAUGGACGGAAGUCUGACCGAGCAACGCCGCGUGAGUGAAGAAGGUUUUCGGAUCGUAAAGCUCUGUUGUAAGAGAAGAACGAGUGUGAGAGUGGAAAGUUCACACUGUGACGGUAUCUUACCAGAAAGGGACGGCUAACUACGUG